CGCGCAGGCGGUUCCUUAAGUCUGAUGUGAAAGCCCACGGCUCAACCGUGGAGGGUCAUUGGAAACUGGGGAACUUGAGUGCAGAAGAGGAAAGUGGAAUUCCACGUGUAGCGGUGAAAUGCGUAGAGAUGUGGAGGAACACCAGUGGCGAAGGCGACUUUCUGGUCUGUAACUGACGCUGAGGCGCGAAAGCGUGGGGAGCAAACA
Molecule: ribosomal RNA, 207 nt
Filed under: uncultured Bacillus sp.
Lineage: Bacteria; Bacillati; Bacillota; Bacilli; Caryophanales; Bacillaceae
Description: partial 16S ribosomal RNA
Rfam family: Bacterial small subunit ribosomal RNA
Source: RNAcentral